AGAGGUCACUUUCCUAAUUAAUGAGCUAGGAUUCUCGGACAUAACACCCCCAUCCCCUCAAGAAAGACCUUGUCCUCAAGGUCGUAGUUGAGCCACAAAAUCUUGAAAUCGAUGCUUGAUGUAGCCCCAAUCUUCCCCAGAAGCACUUAGAUUAGCCCACUGAACCAAUAUUUUUACACCAACACUAUUGUUGACUCGUACCAUCUUCCUCUGAAGAAUGGAUGUUGGUUGAAUCAAGACCUUACCCUCCAUAUCGUAGAGAGGAGGUUGCUGUGCUGGGACGAUGGUAGGACCUAUUCGACGUAUCUCGAACCAUAAAGGAUUGACUGAACCAAUAUUUUUACACCAACACUAUUGUUGACUCGUACCAUCUUCCUCUGAAGAAUGGAUGUUGGUUGAAUCAAGACCUUACCCUCCAUAUCGUAGAGAGGAGGUUGCUGUGCUGGGACGAUGGUAGGACCUAUUCGACGUUUCAGUGCAAGGCAUGAAACACAAGGUGUAUUUGCGACCCUGGUGAAAGCUGUAAUCGGUAAGCUACAGAUCCAAUUUUUUGUUCUUAUAUGGACCAUAGUAUCUGGUAUAGGACUGGCGAUAGGGAUGUAGCUUUAGGUAAACUUGGUCUCCCAGUUCUAGUGUUCUUUCUGACCUCAAUCUAUCUGCAUAGAACUUCAUGCGAGCCUGGGCUUGAGUUAGAUUGUCCUUUGGUGCUUGUAACAUAUGCUGUCGUUGAGCCACACUCACUCAUGCUGGUGAUUGGCCAUUAUUAGGCAAGGAUCCUGUAGGUAGUUGGGGUGGUGAAUAACCAUACAGUGUGUGAAAUGGGGUGGUCUUCAGUGCACUAUGGUAGUUGGUGUUACACCACCAUUUCGCCAAAUGAAGCCACUAGGUCCAUUGCUUAGGAUUGUCAAAUACCAUUGCACGUAGAUAAGUUUCCAUGCACCUAUUUAACCUUUCACUCUGCCCAUCUUAUUGUGGAUGACAAGAGGGGUUGCUCUGAUGGUAAGCAACCCCCCUUCCAACCGAGAGGUUGUGAGUUCGAGUCUCCCCAAGAGCAAGGUGGGAAGUUCUUGGAGGGAAGGAUGCCGGGGGUCUAUUCGGAAACAGCCUCUCUNNNNNNNNNNNNNNNNNNNNNNNNNNNNNNNNNNNNNNNNNNNNNNNNNNNNNNNNNNNNNNNNNNNNNNNNNNNNNNNNNNNNNNNNNNNNNNNNUCUACCCAAGGGUAGGGGUAAGGUCUGUGUACACACUACCCUCCCCAGACCCCACUAAGUGGGAUUAUACUGGGUUGAUGUUGUUGUUGUUGUUGUUGUAAUUUGCUACCCAUAGUCUUGAAAAGGUGUUGCCAGAAAUUACUAGUAAAUAAAGGGUCUUUAUCAGAUACUAUUAUCCUAGGUAGCCCAUGUAGUCUAUAGACUUCCCUGAGGAAUAGUCUGCUACCUCCUGAGCUGAAAAUGGAUGUUUGCCAGCCAGGAGGUGACCAUACUUAGUGAACCUAUCAAACACCACUAACACUGCACUCUUACUCUCAGAGUUGGUUUGUCCCUCCACAAGAUCCAUGGAUAUGUCCUGCCAUACCUGGUCUGGUACUGGAAGUGGUCGAAACAAGCUUGGUGGUGGACAUUUUUAGCCUUAACUCUUUGACAAACAUCACACUCCUCUACCCAUUUACACAUUUCUUUUUUCAUAUCCGGCCAAUGAAACAAAAGGUGUAAUCUCUUUUAGGUAUCGUGUUGACCUAAGUGUCCACCAAUGGCAGAAUGAUGUAGAGUUUGUAUGAUUUUUUCCCUUAGAUUAGUGCCUUUUCCCAUAUAGAUUUUUUGUUUGUACCUGAUUACCCCUUGGUGAAAAGUAUAGUCAACCUUGCUAUUAGGAGCUAUGAUUGCACGAGGAGUGCCAAACCUUGUAAAAUGCUCUUUUUGAGAAAUGCAACAACACUCCGGGCCUCAUUUAUUAGAAAAGCCAUGGCUUCAACCCACUUUGUAAAAGACCCCUCAUCACAUAUGAUUGCACGAAGAGUGCCAAACCUUGUAAAAAUGCUCUUUUUGAUAAACGCAACAACACUCCAGGCCUCAUUUUUGAGUAAAGCCAUGGCUUCAACACACUUUGAAACAUAGUCAACUGCCAUAAGAAUGUAUGUGUUCCCACACGAGCUAACAAACUGGCCCUUAAAAUUAAUUCCCCAUACAUCAAAAAUAUCAACUUCAACGAUGGUAUUGAGAGGCAUCUCUUCGAAAUUUUUCCCGCUCUUUGGCAUUCGUCACACCUCUUCACAAUUUCACUUGUAUCUUUGUAAAAAGUUGGCCAAUAAAACCCAUAACUAAGAACUUUGGAAGUCGUCCUCACCCUGCCAUGAUGGCCACCAUAGGAAGAGGAAUGACAAUCCUCCAAGAUACUCAAUUUCUCCUCCUCUGAGACACACCUUCGUAUCACACCAUCCGUGCAAAUCUUGAACAAGUACAGCUCAUCCAAUCGAAAACCAAACUAUCUCGUUUGAGUUUCUUCCUUUGGUUAGAAGAUAGCUUAUACAUGAUUAUACCAGUCACAAGGAAAUUAUCAAUAUCCGCAGACGACGGCAUACCAUUCACCGAUAUCGAAAGGAGUUGUUCAUUGGGAAAUGAAUCAUUUAUAUCUAGUCCAUAUCGAGGCCUCCCAUCUUCCUCCAAGCGGGACAAGUGGUCUGACACUUGGUUUUCACUACCCUUCCGGUCCACAAUCUCCAAAUCAAACUAUUGAAGUAACAAGACCCACCGUAUCAAUCUAGAUUUGGAAUCCUUCUUCGUCAUCAAGUACUGGAGUGCGGCAUGAUCGGUAUGGACUAUGAACUUGGCACCCAUAAGAUACAUCCGAAAUUUUUCUUUUGCGAAAACUAUAGCAAAAAUUUCUUUCUCAGCCACCGUGUAGUUCACUUGAGCAUCAUUCAUUAUCUUGCUCGCGUAGUACACCGGAUGAAACAUUUUGUUCACUCUUUGACCAUAACCGCCCAAUCUCAACAUCGAUCGCAUCACAUAUGAGCUCAAAAGGUAAGCUCCAAUUAGGUGCGGUAAUGAUAGGAGUGGUGGUCAACUUGUGCUUGAGAAGUUCAAUGGCUUGCAUGUAUCUCUCAUCGAACACAAACUUGGCAUCUUUUUCCAAUAACUUGCAUAAGGGGUUCACUACCUUCGAAAAGUCUUUGAUAAAUCUUCGGUAGAACCUCGCAUGCCCAAGAAAACUUCUAACUCCCUUGACAGAGGUAGGGGAGGGAGCCUUGAAAUCAUAUCAAUUUUUGCUUUAUCCACCUCUAUACAAUGAUUUGAAAUUCUAUGCCGUCGGUAGAACCCCGUAUGCCAAAUAAAACAUCGAACUCCCUUGACAGAGGUAGGGGAUGGAACCUUGAAAUCAUAUAAAUUUUUGCUUUGUCCACCUCUAUACUAUGCUUUGAAAUUUUAUGCCCAAGAACUAUGCCCUCUUCCACCAUGAAGUGGUUUCUCCCAAUCAAGAUUGGUUUCUUCACAACGACCCAACACUCUAUCUAGAUUUUACAAACGUGCAUCAAAUGAAUCACCCACAACACUAAAGUCUUCCAUGAACACCUCCAAAAUAUCUUCCACCAUAUCAGUGAAAAUGGCCAUCAUACACCGCUAAAAUAUAGCUGGUGCAUUACACAACCUAAAAGACAUCAUAGAAAAGGCAAAUGUGUCAUAUGGACAAGUGAAUGUGGCCUUCUCCUCCUCUUCCGGAGUAAUCAAGAUUUGGUUGUAUCAGGAAUAACCAUCCAAUAAAUAGUAGAAGGCACGCCUAGCAAGUCGGUCUAACAUCUAAUCAAGAAAAGGCAAUAGAAAGUGAUCCUUGUGGGUCACUUUGUUCAACUUGCGGUAGUCCAUGCAUACCCUCCAAUAGGUGACUGUUCUGGUAGGAAUCAACUCAUUUUUUUGAAUUUGCAUUCACGGUCAUGUCACCAUUCUCCGAUACACAUUGCACCAGUGAAGUCCAAGAACUAUCAGAAAUGGGGUGCACAACCCCGGCAUCCAACCACUUGAUCACCUCCUUUUUCACAACUUCUUGCAUUGCUACGUUCAACCUCCUUUGAUGUUCCAGGGAGGGAUUUGCAUCAUCUUCCAGAAUAAUCUUGUGCAUACAGAAGCGGGCUUAUUCCCCGAAUAUCAGCUAAGGUCCAUCCAAUUUCCUUUUUUCGCUUUUGAAGCACCUCCAAUGUGGCAUCAACCCGCACAUUAGUAAGACAGGAGGAAAAGAAUAACUGGCAUAGUAGCACUAAGGCCUAAGAACUCUGCCUGAGGUAUAGAGCCAAUGGCUUCAAUUCCAACACCAAAGGCUCCUCGAUUUAAGUCUUAGUUGGAGGAGUCUUUCUAUUUUUAAGAUCCAAAGAGAAUUUCCUAGGCUCAUAAGAAAAAGAGCCCAUUCCAUGUAAAGCAUUCAUACACUCCACUCAUCUCUCAUCAUCAUUGUCAUCAAGAUUCAACAAUACGGCCUCUCCUCCACAUUGAUCACUGCACUAGUAUCAUCAACUAUCACUGCCAUGACAAGAUCCACAAAAGAGCACACCUCAGAACUGUUGGGCUACUUCAUUGACUUGCACACAUAAAAGACCACUUUCUCAUCACCCACCCGAAAGGUAAGUUCCUCUGCUUCCAAAUCAACUAAGGCCUUCCCCGUAAAAAGGAAAGGUCUCCCUAAUAUGAUCGAAAUUUCAUAAUCUACUUCACGAUCCAAGAUCACAAAAUCAACUAGCAAGAUAAAUUUGUCCACCUGGACAAGAAUAUCAUCAAUAAUACCCAUUGGGAUCUUCAUAGUUCUAUCUGCCAUUUGCAAUCUCAUGGAAGUCGGCUUUAGUUUCCCAAUACCCAAAGUCUUAAAAACUGAGUAAGGCAUCAAGUUGAUACUUGCCCCAAAUCACAUAGAGCUUUAACAAAGUCUGCACUUUCAAUGGUGCAUGGAAUGGUGAAAGCACCAGGAUCUUCUAGCUUCGGAGCCAUUAAGUGCACAAUUGCACUAACUUGGUGGGUCAUCUUUAUAGUUUCACAAUCUAUGGACUAUUUCUUUGUCACAAAUCCUUCAUGAAUUUAGCAUAGCCCAGUAUUUGUUCAGGAGCCUCCACCAAAGGAACAUUAAUGGUAAGGUCUUCAUCAUGUCAAUGAACUUUUUAAACUAAUUCUCAUUUUUCUGCUUCUUGAGCCUUUGAGGAUAAGGUGGAGGUGGCCUUGGAAAAGGAGCCUUGGCUGUAGGCACAACUGGCUCCGGCAUGUCUAUUACGUGUUCCCUAGACAAGUUCACGUCAUUUUGAGUUUCCACCUCGGCAUCUUGAAUAUCAUUCCUCACUUCUUUAUAUACAUUCUCAUCAAUCACAUUUUCAACCACCAAUGUAACUUUAUCUUUUUGCAACUCAACUUCAUCACUCAAAAUUUGCUUUUGUUUGGAGUCAUUCGCAUCAGUGCCUCGUCCAAUCCUUGUAGUUACCACCAUCACAUGAUUGUUUCCACCAUUCGGGUUGACUACCGUUUCACUUGUUAGAGCCCCAUUAGGGUGAGUAUUCAAGGAUUGGAAGAUUUGGCCUAAUUGAACCUCCAAAUUUCUAAUUGAAGUAUUGUGGGAAGACAACUGAGCAUCGGAAUCCACAGUCUUUUUCAUCAUCUGUUCAAAUAUUAUUUCAAUUCUCCCCAUAUCAUUGGUGGAAGAACUAGGCCUGUGUGAUGGAAAUGGGGGUGGAUUAUUCGGUUGUUGAUACAUUUGGGGCCUUUGAAAGCCUUGCCCCCGGUUUCUUUGAUUUCUAUUAUUCCAACCUCAUAGAUUAAUGUUACCACCCCAGUUGUUGUUUUUUCCAUUCCAAUUAUCCUGAUUGUUUUGAUUAUUCUUCUAAUUUCCCAAACUGGAAUUUUGGUUGUUGUUUCCCCAAUUACCAUCGCCUUGUUGUUGUUGAGUGCACCAAGUGCCUUGGGGUCUCCAUUGUUGUUGGUUGGAAGAAUUGCCCCUUUGACCUUGAUAAUUAUUCAUGUAUUGCACCUCCUUAUUCUUCCCAUCAUAACCAUCAUCUUGUAAUCCACCACAAUCAUUGUCAAAUUGAUCUGUACUCCUAGUGGUUCUGUUGACCUCUUUGUCUUCUUUUGUUUACUAGCAUGUUGACACCUCCAUAACAUUCACUUGACGAGGAUUUUGAACUUGUUGCAAUUGUGCCUUUGCUAGUUAGUUCAUUGUAGUUGUCAGCUCAACUACUGCAUGACCAUGAUCAUAUAGCUCUUUGUGUAAAUGAGUCAUCGUGGGGUCACCCUGGGGCACAUUGGUCUACUUUGCCAAGCAGAGGAAGUGUCAACCAUCUCGUCAAAAAUGUUACAAGCCUCAUCAUAGGUCAGUUUCAUAACCCAAUCAAGUUGAUUCACUAUGCAUUGGUUUGUUGUGUUAGUGCCCCAGUAGAAAGUCCAUUGGAUCAUCGGCUCAGUCAUAUCAUUGUUGGGGCAAUAUUUUCGCAUUGUUCUUUAUCGCUCCCAAAUCUCAUGUAAUGAUUUAGUGGGAUCCUAUUUGAAAGCAAAGACAUCAGUAUUGCUACGUGACUUGGUGAGAAAAACCUUGCUAUGAACUUAUCUGCCAACUCAUCCCAAGUAGAGAUGGAAUGGUUGGGGAAGUCUCUCAAGCCAAUCCAAUGCCUUCCCUUUAAGUGAGAAAGUGAAGAGUCUCAACCGAAGUGCAUCCUCGGACGAAUUAGUUUGCUUGCUCUCCCAAUAGGUGUCCACAAAACCCUUGAGAUUUUUGUAAGAAUUUUGAUUGGCAGCGCCCGUGAAAUACCCAGGUUGCUCUAACAAUGUCAACAUAACAUUGGUGAGUUGAUAAUUGCCCGUCAGGAUCUGAGGUGGGACAGUUGAACUUGCAUAGCCUUGGUUUGGAAGCACUCAUUGAGCCACUCUUAGAGGUGGCGGAGGAGGGUCUGGGAUAUUAUCAUUGGCAUUUGCCUGGUGGCCUCUCAGUUGUCCUUGAGGUAUAAGAGGCACCUCAUCCUCUCUAUUAUCAUCUACCUCCUCCCCCACAAUCACAUUUCCAAGUGGGUCAUUGUUGUAUGCUGCCAGUUUUGCAGCUGAAGUUGUGACACACACAAAUUAGCAAUGCACAAGGAAAGAAGAACAAUACACAAAACUAUUAAGAUAGAUAGCCAAAACCGUUAGCUCCCCGGCAACGACACCAAAAAGUGAUCAGGGCCUACCCUGUACUAAUACAGAGUAGCUAGAGUAGUCAAAGCAGCUUUUAUCCGAGAAGGUCGAGAUCGAUUUCCAUAGGGAUCUAGAGAUUGGGGUUGAGUUUCUAUCUAAAUUGGUGUUGCGUAAUUGUUCCUAAUUGCACUUUUAUUCAUAAUUGGUUUUGAUAUUACUUCUAAAUAUAUACUACCAUGAUGCUGAAUUGAGUUAAAUUAAGCUAAAAGUGAACUAUUGAAGGUUGUCUAAUUAGGUUAAAAGGAACUAGAGAAGCGAUAUUCUCCUAGGUGGAUAAUUGAUGGAUUCUCGAGUCUAGGGCUAGAUUGUCACAUUUGGGGAUUACGAUAUAACCAUUGCACGAUUAUACUCACACUACACCUCUCGGUAGUUCGAGUGAUUUUGCCCUAAUUGACUUUCUCAAGACCAAUUGGGUAUGAUAAUUUGUGCAAGCAAUAGAGGUUCAAGUCGGGUAUUACUAUCUUUAGGUUUAACCCUUUAAUUGAGGCUAUCAAUCUCUUGAGUACGCCCCAAUUUCUUGUUGGACCAAUUUCAUAGACUUAGACUUUCUUUCUCAAGACGAACCAAAGUCAACUAGGCAUAAAUUAGUGUUUGCAACCACUAAUUCCACACUAAAACCCUAAAUUAGUCUAAAUAUAAAACACCCAUAGACAAUUAAGCAUUAAAACAUAAUACCCAUCAUUUGCCCACACUAGGAUUGAGCCACAACCCUAGCUAAUGGGUCUAGCUAGUCAUAAUUGUAGGAAAAAAUAAAGAAUUAGAUGAAGAAAAAUCAAUAAUAAUUAGUUACUAGAUAAAACUUGAAGAUUCAAUGAUAAAACUAAGUUAAAAUUACUAAAAAUAGAAAAAAAGUAUUGUUCACGAGGGCAGCUAUUCGUCAAAAUACAACUGAUGACCUAAAAAAAUGAAAAAAAACUAUUUGUACUAGGCUGAAAAUUUUGGACAAAAAUACCCCGCGGUGCUAGUGCGGACCGCACAAAAUCAAGUGCAGCUGCCUAAGACUCUUGGCUGAAAUAAUCUGCUCUCUGAAUUUGGGCUUUGCGGACCGCACAAAGUCAAGUGCGGCCAUAGUGCCUUCUGUUGUGGUCCACACAAAAUGGACUGCAGAACGCAUUGGAAAUAUUCCUCCAAUCUUGGCACUCUCUGAACAAGAGGCUUUGCGAACUGCACAAAGUCGAGUGCGUCCGCAAUGAAGUCAAUGCGGUCCGCACAAAAUAUUUUGCGACCGCGUUGCUUGGCUGCCUAUAAUGCAUACUCUCUGAACCUCCUCUUUGCGGCCGCAUAGAAUGGUUUGCUGUGGCCGCAAUAGUCCUGUUAUAUUGAGCUUGGCUUUGUUCUUGGUACUUGUGCAUGUUUCACUCCUUUUUGAGCUAGUUUUGACAAAUUGUCACCAUGUUGACCAAACCCUGCAAUUAAGUACAACAUGUGAGCCUUUGAAACUAUUUUGUACACGUUUCUAACCAAAACUUAAGCAAGAAUGAGUGUAAAAUGCAUCAUAAUCCCUAGUUAUCAGAUGCUGAAGUUAUUUAGCUCAUUUGUAAAAGCGUCAAUACUAUAUAAGCUGAAGUUUUUGAAAAAACUCUUUAACAUAUUAGAUAAAUAAUCAUAUUGCCAACAGUAUCUAAAUUAUAAAUUUUGAAAUUAAAAAAUAUGAAAAGAACAGAAUUAUCAUUUCACAAAUUAUUGUCUACUAACUUAGUAAUUAUUUAUAAUUUAUUUUUAAAUAAUUUGAUAAACAUAUUUAUGACAAUUAUCCCAUGAAUUGAAGUUUCAUAGCAGCACCAACAACAGAAGAAGAAGAAGAAGAAGAAGAACAAGAAGAAGGAGGAGGAGGAGGAGGAUGAGGCAAUACACAAGGAGAAAAAAAGAGAUUGAAUUUGUUUAAAAAUGGGUAUAAGUUAAAACGUUUUAAAAAUAAAUAUUACAUAUUAAAUGGGAGCGAUCAAAUAAGACACCAUGUGUAAUUUUUUUCAAGUUUACCUUUUGCUUUCCGUUCUUUAUGGAACAUGAUGAUUUCUCUAAUGUUAAAUUGAUGCCACAUUGUAAAUGCAACUUCUUCAACUAGACAAUACUGUGUACGAGUGAUUUUAUGGUAUGCUUACACAAUCGAUAUUAGUUGUAUGAGGUUUUUAUUUUAUUUUAUAUAUUUAUGGGCCUAUAUUUUAUAUAUUUAGAUUCACAAAAAUUUGUGACCACAAAGUUGCGAGACAAAGUUGUGUUU
RNAcentral lists this long non-coding RNA (9407 nucleotides) under Nicotiana benthamiana. RNAcentral describes it as "long non-coding RNA (NBEN_LNC023618)". The record is from RNAcentral. Lineage: Eukaryota; Viridiplantae; Streptophyta; Magnoliopsida; Solanales; Solanaceae.